ACCUCCUUAUUGACAAUAAUGUCCAAAUCUACUUAUCGAUAAGCAUGACCGAAUUUCCUUAUUGACAAUUAUGUCCGAAUCUCUUUAUUGUAAAUCAUGACCGAAUUUCGUAGUUGACAAUCAUGACCGACCUCAUUAUUCACAAUUAUGUCCAAAUUUCCUUAUUAAUAAUCAUGACCAAAUUUCCUUAUCCCUGUGUUAUCAACAAUCAUGUCCGAAUCUCCUUAUUGAUAAUCAUCAACUUAUUUAAUGCGUAUUGAUUUUUUUUUCUUAUUUUCACACUGUCUAACAUAUUCAUAUACGUAAAACCAACAUUUUCUUUAUCUUCCUUAUUGAGAAUCGAGAUCGAAUCUUCUUAUUGCCAAUCCGGACCGAAUUUCCCUAUUAACAAACAUGACUGAAUUUCCUUAUUGACAAUCAUGUUCAAAUCUCCUUAUUGAUAAUCAUCCCGAAUCUCCUUAUUCACAAUCAUGAUCAAAUCUCCUUAUUGACAGUCGGGACCGAAUCUCCUUAUUGACAAGCAUGUCCAAAUCUCCUUAUUGACCAUUAUGUCUAAUGUCAUUAUUGAUUAUCAUUCCGAAUC
This 583-nucleotide long non-coding RNA is filed under the name Mytilus galloprovincialis (Mediterranean mussel). The record is from RNAcentral. Lineage: Eukaryota; Metazoa; Mollusca; Bivalvia; Mytilida; Mytilidae.